This is a long non-coding RNA of Xiphophorus couchianus (Monterrey platyfish), 1323 nucleotides long. RefSeq lists it as uncharacterized. The transcript has 2 exons. The record is from RefSeq and is a predicted model, not a curated record. NCBI's taxonomy places the organism in Eukaryota, Metazoa, Chordata, Actinopteri, Cyprinodontiformes, Poeciliidae.
UGACAGCUGUCCCGACUGUCACAAGCAGACACUGUUGGUAAUGGUUUUUUGUUUUCCCUUAAUAUUACUUUAUAUAUUGAGUAGUUUAGAUUUUUAUCUUUAAAUUUGUUUUCAUUAGUCUGACUCUUUAGUUAACUAUUUGUUGUGCACCCAUUUAGUUAACUUUAUGUGUCAGUUCUUUGUAUAUUUUGUUAAAUACAACAAAUUAAUUAUUUUUCUUUUGAGUUACCAGUUUCCUCUGGACCUGUGGCUGAAAAUCAGAGAUGAGCUCCAGCUGAUUGGUGUCCAUAUAUGGUUGUCAAACUUCCUCAGCGGACCAUUCCAUUUGUUCACCAGGGGAGGGGGAAAUUUGGUCUUUAGUUUAAUUUUACCAUUUAUUUAAUGUUUCUUCUUUUGGAAAGUUAGUUAAAUUCUGAUAUUUAUUUCAUUUAUAGAUUUAGUAAUAUUCUGACCAAUAUUUGUUAGGUUUUUGUGUGUUUAAUUACCCCCUAGUGUGUGUUAAUGGUCUGAUCAGCCAUUAUUUAAGUUCCCCUCAUGUGUUGUUUGUUAGGUCAGUUUGUGCUUGAGUUUGUUCUGUUACCACCUGAGUUGUACUUUGUUAUGUUGACCUCAGUUUGGGCCCAAUUUAUCAUUUUUGGAUUCUUUUUGUUAAUAAAUUAAGAUUAAAUUUUGAAUUUUCAUCAACGUCUCGCUGGCUGGUUCAUGCAAAACCCUCACACUUGGUGUCAGGAAUGGGAUUUUACCAGCCAGGAGUACAAAGUUUUUUUUCCAUUACCAACCUUGAAGCAACAUGCAGCGUGGAGGAAGGAGUAAACGAGGCAAUUUUGUGGAGUCUCAAGGAACAGCAGGCCCUGAUGAGCCGACUGAUUGCACCGAAGCAGGAGCAUCUGGAGGACAUGUAGGCACUGAGGAGGAAGGGGGAGUAGAACCAACUUACGCAGAUCUGGUCAGUAUUCUUCGUGCCCACAUGAGCCAGCAGGAGGCACAGAAUAGAAUGAUGAGAGAGGAAACAGCUCGCCAAGAUCAACGGUUCAAGACUCUCCAGCACCAAUUUAGUCUUUUGCAGUUAGAAGUGCAAGCUCGUACUUCUCCAACAUCUGAACCUGCUAAGCUGGAAAACUCUGACUCGGAGGAACCAGAACCACAGGAUAAAAACCUGCUGCCAGGAGACCGUAAAGUCAUCUUAACUUCAGGUCAGUUUGUGCUUGAGUUUGUUCUGUUACCACCUGAGUUGUACUUUGUUAUGUUGACCUCAGUUUGGGCCCAAUUUAUCAUUUUUGGAUUCUUUUUGUUAAUAAAUUAAGAUUAUAUUUUGAAUUUUCA